RNAcentral lists this ribosomal RNA (454 nucleotides) under uncultured bacterium. Its description in RNAcentral is "bacterial SSU rRNA". It matches the Rfam family "Bacterial small subunit ribosomal RNA", at positions 17 to 518 of the family's 1533-position model. The record is from RNAcentral.
UUAUGGCUCAGAGCGAACGCUGGCGGCAGGCCUAACACAUGCAAGUCGAGCGCCCCGCAAGGGGAGCGGCAGACGGGAGAGUAACACGUGGGAACGUACCCUUCAGUUCGGAACAACCCAGGGAAACUUGGGCUAAUACCGAAUACGUCCGUAAGGAGAAAGAUUUAUCGCUGAAGGAUCGGCCCGCGUCUGAUUAGCUAGUUGGUGAGGUAACGGCUCACCAAGGCGACGAUCAGUAGCUGGUCUGAGAGGAUGAUCAGCCUCACUGGGACUGAGACACGGCCCAGACUCCUACGGGAGGCAGCAGUGGGGAGUAUUGGACAAUGGGCGCAAGCCUGAUCCCAGCCAUGCCGCGUGGAUGAUGAAGGCCCUAGGGUUGUAAAGUCCUUUCGGCGGGGAAGAUAAUGACGGUACCCGCAGAAGAAGCCCCGGCUAACUUCGUGCCAGCAGCAGC